Long non-coding RNA from Equus asinus (donkey), 1246 nucleotides. Lineage: Eukaryota; Metazoa; Chordata; Mammalia; Perissodactyla; Equidae. The record is from Ensembl.
GGGGGGUGGGGAGGGUGUAAGGUUUGUAGCAGGUGGUUCCCAUUCUAAAGGAAAGUAGUUUCCUCCUACGCCAUUAUUUGAAGUGAUGUGUUGUUAAAACUGGCCCUGCACGGACCUUUAGACUUGUCAGAGAAACAGGAAGAAAGUCUUCCUCCAGGGGAGGGGCUAGACUGGAAAGUUCCACAGAAGGUGCAUGGUUUGGAUAGCUUUUCAUAACUGGAAGGAAGGUAGAUGUUGAUUUAGCGUGGGGAAGACUGCUGAGCUCCCCCACAGGGUGGCAAGAAAAGGAGCCCCUGUGUCCCCAGAGACAUUCAGCAGUGGCUUGUCAAAAACGUGGAAGAGCAGCGUUAAUAUUGAGCUCCUAGUGUGUGCCAGGCGCUCUCUAUAUACAUCCUUUGAUGUGUUGCCCCAUUAACACUUGGAGAGCUGAGGCUGAGAGAGGUAAACUUGUCCAAGGCUGAGUGGCUGCUAGAAAACACAGGUCUGUGGAGCCUAAAGGCAGAGGUUUUCCCAUCCAUCACGCCGUCUUCCCAUCGCGGAGAUUCACUCAAGCUUUCCUGGGCAUUUGUGCGCCGCGACGUUCUCCUCCAGCACCCGGAUGAGAUCAGGUGGUGGUGCGCUUUGGAGGAGAGGUGAAGGUGCCCCUUGGGAACAGGAUGCACCUGGGUGGAGCAUUGUUGCGGAUCGUGGCGACAUCUCCGGCCCAAGUCCCUUCUUCCCCGGGGGCUGGGUCUCUUGAGCCGCCUCACCAGGAUCCUUCCAGCUUCUCUAGGCGGCUCUACUGGCCAUUUGCCUGGCAGUGGAGGAGGAGGAGGGUGGAGGAUGCCUAAUAUGACGAAAUACUGCCAGAUGACACCAGAAUGGCUGCACCAGUCUACUCUCCCACCAGCAAAGAAGGAGGGUUUCUAUAUUCCCACAAUCCUCUCAACACUAAUUGUUCAGUUUAUUUUGAUUUUUUUUUUUUUGCCUGUUUAACAGGCUUGUUGUUAUAUUUUCCUAAUAGUCAAUGACACUGAAUAUCCUUUAUAUAUUACCUUCCAUUGGGCUUUGAGGUCUCCUCUUCUGUAAAUUGCCUGUUUCCAGGAAAUUAUCUGUGAUGGUUUUAAAAUAUGUUGACAAACUCUUCGAUACUCCCUUCUUUAAGAAGUGGGGCUGCCUCCCCCAGCCCUGUGUGUCCACUGGACUUACUAAGUUGAGCAAUGUCCCUUCUCUUCCUAGUUUGCAAAGAGCUUUUAUCAUCAUCAAC